GACGUAGGGGGCGAGCGUUGUCCGGAUUUAUUGGGCGUAAAGAGCUCGUAGGCGGUUUGGUAAGUCGGGUGUGAAAUCUCCACGCUCAACGUGGAGGGCCACUCGAUACUGCCAUGACUCGAGUCCGGUAGAGGAGUGUGGAAUUCCGGGUGUAGCGGUGGAAUGCGUAGAGAUCCGGAAGAACACCGGUGGCGAAGGCGGCCUGCUGGGCAGUUGCCGA
RNAcentral lists this ribosomal RNA (220 nucleotides) under uncultured bacterium. RNAcentral's name for it is "partial 16S ribosomal RNA". It matches the Rfam family "Bacterial small subunit ribosomal RNA", at positions 524 to 743 of the family's 1533-position model. The record is from RNAcentral.